Molecule: ribosomal RNA, 253 nt
Filed under: uncultured bacterium
Lineage: Bacteria
Description: partial 16S ribosomal RNA
Rfam family: Bacterial small subunit ribosomal RNA
Source: RNAcentral
UACGUAGGGUGCGAGCGUUGUCCGGAAUUAUUGGGCGUAAAGAGCUUGUAGGUGGCUCGUUGCGUCGGGAGUGAAAACCUGCGGCUUAACCGCAGGCCUGCUUCCGAUACGGGCGAGCUAGAGUUCGGCAGGGGAGACUGGAAUUCCUGGUGUAGCGGUGGAAUGCGCAGAUAUCAGGAGGAACACCGGUGGCGAAGGCGGGUCUCUGGGACGGUACUGACGCUGAGACGCGAAAGCGUGGGGAGCGAACAGG